CUCCCUCUACCCAGAGGCAGCCAUGAUGGAGCUACCUGGCUGCUGUGGAACCCAGCCUCAGGGAUUGAAUAUCUUACCAGGUUCUUGGCUCUCAGGUCUGAUUCUGCUGCUGUUACUGUGUUAGAGCUGGUGUAAUCAAUUUUUAAAUUCGUACGAAGUCUAUUAAAUAUUGUUAAAUAUAAAUGUAUGAAAUUAUAUCUAUCCAUCCCACUAGUUCCGUCCCGCUAGAGAGCGCACACUAAUCCACAGUGCGCUCCCCUUUCCCUGGCUUACCUUUCCCAUUGCUUCCUCGUUUGUGUACUGACUUGGGUGGAACUUUUGGGUGCAUUCGAUGUUCUCUGGCAACAAAUUAGAAUCGCCUGUGCAGACGGUCUUACUUGAAGAAGCAUCCUGAUUGCCUUGAUUGGAUGGAUGUAGGGAGACCUGCCUGGACUACCUUCUGAUAGUCCGUGCAGUGGAAGCUCUGACUCAUUUCUACAGAAACCAUGUUGGGAUGUUUUGCCUACCUGUGUGGAAGUGCAUUGUGUGCCUACUGCCUAUAGAGGGAGAAGAGGGCACUGGAUCACCAGGAACUGAAGUUACAGACCGCGUGACCAUCAGCUGCACAGAGGAGGAGCUCAGAAGGAGUCGGAGGAUGAAGACGAUAUGGUACCGCCAUAUCGACCACUCGUCGUGGGUGGCAGCCAAGUGGUUUGCCUUUCUCCGGAAUGGCAGAGAUGGGUAAAUACUGGUCAUUAUCAAGAUUAUAACCUCUUUGGCUAAAGAGCAACCAAGAAAGGAAAAAUCUUCUCUUGCCCCCCACAAAGAAACCCCACCCACAUAGGAAAACAAGAUCAUAGUUUGACCUCUUGUUUGGCAACAACUUCCAGUGGCCUCUAAGAGCACAGUACUUAGGACCCAUAAAGUCACACCUGCUGAGGAGCGGUUGGUUGGACCCUCACAGACCUUAGUUUCCUCACCUGUGAAUGAUGGGCUUAGCCCGAAUCGUUUUCAUGCUUCCUGUACCAGCGUGUACACUUUUUGAAAAAAAGCACAAUCCGUCCAUCCAGCACCAUUAGCUCCAUUACUAGCUAGAAUUAAGUGAGCAUCUGCAGGCUAUGUGCUGAGAUUAAAAGGAUAAAUGAGAUGCGGUCUCUUAAUGAGCUCAUAGUUAUUGGUGAUACAUAUGUAAGUAACUGUGAUGGUUUAAUAAAUGCUAUUAAAUAUUCACAGAAUUAAUUGUAGUUAUGGUCCAGUUGUGUGCUCCCAGGAACAGUGUCAUACAACAGGAGCCAGCCCCUGAGAGAGCUCACUUUAUCACAAAGCCAUUCCCCUGAUAGUCUGCUAACUAUACCUGUCACGGUGAAUUAAUCCACCCAUCACACAGCCCUCCUCUGAGAGUCUCCUCUCUCAGUAUAUACGGCUCUGCUGGGUACCAGAUUUCCAGCACGUGAAAUCUGGGGGACACACAUGAGCCUUCACUCUAAGCAAAGGGCCACCGGUCUUGCUCUUGCUAAUUAUGGACUUCUGCCAUCUGAAGGGAGCCUUUCUUCCUUCCACAGAAAGCUCCUCCCCGGGCUUCACAGACGUGCUCUGUAAGUAGUUAUUUGUCUUCACAACUGCUUUGAAACCGUUCCCA
Non-coding RNA from Rattus norvegicus (Norway rat), 1618 nucleotides. The record is from RefSeq and is a predicted model, not a curated record. Lineage: Eukaryota; Metazoa; Chordata; Mammalia; Rodentia; Muridae.